GACGUAGGGCGCGAGCGUUGUCCGGAUUUAUUGGGCGUAAAGAGCUCGUAGGCGGCUUGUCGCGUCGACUGUGAAAACCCGCGGCUCAACUGUGGGCUUGCAGUCGAUACGGGCAGGCUGGAGUUCGGUAGGGGAGACUGGAAUUCCUGGUGUAGCGGUGAAAUGCGCAGAUAUCAGGAAGAACACCAACGGCGAAGGCAGCUCGCUAGGACGGUACUGACGCUGAGACGCGAAAGCGUGGGGAGCGAACAGG
This 253-nucleotide ribosomal RNA is filed under the name uncultured bacterium. RNAcentral's name for it is "partial 16S ribosomal RNA". It matches the Rfam family "Bacterial small subunit ribosomal RNA", at positions 524 to 776 of the family's 1533-position model. The record is from RNAcentral.